Molecule: ribosomal RNA, 1105 nt
Filed under: Staphylococcus aureus
Lineage: Bacteria; Bacillati; Bacillota; Bacilli; Caryophanales; Staphylococcaceae
Description: bacterial SSU rRNA
Rfam family: Bacterial small subunit ribosomal RNA
Source: RNAcentral
UGCAAGUCGAGCGAACGGACGAGAAGCUUGCUUCUCUGAUGUUAGCGGCGGACGGGUGAGUAACACGUGGAUAACCUACCUAUAAGACUGGGAUAACUUCGGGAAACCGGAGCUAAUACCGGAUAAUAUUUUGAACCGCAUGGUUCAAAAGUGAAAGACGGUCUUGCUGUCACUUAUAGAUGGAUCCGCGCUGCAUUAGCUAGUUGGUAAGGUAACGGCUUACCAAGGCAACGAUGCAUAGCCGACCUGAGAGGGUGAUCGGCCACACUGGAACUGAGACACGGUCCAGACUCCUACGGGAGGCAGCAGUAGGGAAUCUUCCGCAAUGGGCGAAAGCCUGACGGAGCAACGCCGCGUGAGUGAUGAAGGUCUUCGGAUCGUAAAACUCUGUUAUUAGGGAAGAACAUAUGUGUAAGUAACUGUGCACAUCUUGACGGUACCUAAUCAGAAAGCCACGGCUAACUACGUGCCAGCAGCCGCGGUAAUACGUAGGUGGCAAGCGUUAUCCGGAAUUAUUGGGCGUAAAGCGCGCGUAGGCGGUUUUUUAAGUCUGAUGUGAAAGCCCACGGCUCAACCGUGGAGGGUCAUUGGAAACUGGAAAACUUGAGUGCAGAAGAGGAAAGUGGAAUUCCAUGUGUAGCGGUGAAAUGCGCAGAGAUAUGGAGGAACACCAGUGGCGAAGGCGACUUUCUGGUCUGUAACUGACGCUGAUGUGCGAAAGCGUGGGGAUCAAACAGGAUUAGAUACCCUGGUAGUCCACGCCGUAAACGAUGAGUGCUAAGUGUUAGGGGGUUUCCGCCCCUUAGUGCUGCAGCUAACGCAUUAAGCACUCCGCCUGGGGAGUACGACCGCAAGGUUGAAACUCAAAGGAAUUGACGGGGACCCGCACAAGCGGUGGAGCAUGUGGUUUAAUUCGAAGCAACGCGAAGAACCUUACCAAAUCUUGACAUCCUUUGACAACUCUAGAGAUAGAGCCUUCCCCUUCGGGGGACAAAGUGACAGGUGGUGCAUGGUUGUCGUCAGCUCGUGUCGUGAGAUGUUGGGUUAAGUCCCGCAACGAGCGCAACCCUUAAGCUUAGUUGCCAUCAUUAAGUUGGGCACUCUA